GCUGUCCUUAGAGGUGUUGUAGGUUUGGGUGCUGUGUCACAUCUGUGUAAGUAGGUAGCAAGAGAAGAAUAGUUAUGUUGACACUCAGUGUCCUAGUCUAUGGAUAUCUGACUGAUUAGUAGCCUAACAUU
Mastomys coucha (southern multimammate mouse) is the source of this 131-nucleotide small nucleolar RNA. RefSeq annotates it as small nucleolar RNA SNORA17. The record is from RefSeq and is a predicted model, not a curated record. The transcript has a single exon. Lineage: Eukaryota; Metazoa; Chordata; Mammalia; Rodentia; Muridae.